AGACGUCUACAUUAGAUACCCGCGUAGUCCCAGCCGUAAACUACUGCGCGUUAGGUGUAUCGGUGACCACGAGUCACCGAGGUGCCGAAGGGAAACCGUGAAACGUGCCGCCUGGGAAGUACGGUCGCAAGGCUGAAACUUAAAGGAAUUGGCGGGGAGCACCACAACGGGUGGAGCCUGCGGUUUAAUUGGACUCAACGCCGGGAAGCUCACCGGAUAGGACAGCAGAAUGAUUGCCGGGCUGAAGACCCUGCAUGACUAGCUG
This 265-nucleotide ribosomal RNA is filed under the name uncultured archaeon. RNAcentral describes it as "partial 16S ribosomal RNA". It matches the Rfam family "Archaeal small subunit ribosomal RNA", at positions 717 to 982 of the family's 1478-position model. The record is from RNAcentral.